CCAUUCGUCACGUUUCAACUGUUCCUCCGUCUGCUUGUCUGUCUGUCUCAGGCUGUUGGCAAAUAGACCUAAGGCUAUGUUGAAAAAAGUCGAACAAAAAAUUUAACUAGCCACAAAUCUUCAUGUGUUUUUGCCGACAAUGAAUAAUUGAGAAUAUCCGAGAAUAGGAGGUGGGAGAAAUCACGUGUAAAGGAUUUGAACCAGACAGACAGAGUGAGCUGAUAUAAGCUUUGUAAAAAUGACGAUACCAACGUUGAUUCCAUCAGAGUGUGGUAAAUAAUUACGGAGAGAAGGUGUUAAUGUUCACAUCGUUCAGAAAUUGUGCAAAACUUG
Long non-coding RNA from Biomphalaria glabrata, 333 nucleotides. RefSeq lists it as uncharacterized. Lineage: Eukaryota; Metazoa; Mollusca; Gastropoda; Planorbidae. The record is from RefSeq and is a predicted model, not a curated record. The transcript is spliced from 3 exons.